UGAGGAAUAUUGGUCAAUGGGCGAGAGCCUGAACCAGCCAAGUAGCGUGCAGGAUGACGGCCCUAUGGGUUGUAAACUGCUUUUGUAUGGGGAUAAAGUCAAUCACGUGUGAUUGUUUGCAGGUACCAUACGAAUAAGGACCGGCUAACUCCGUGCCAGCAGCCGCGGUAAUACGGAAGGUCCGGGCGUUAUCCGGAUUUAUUGGGUUUAAAGGGAGCGUAGGCUGGAGAUUAAGUGUGUUGUGAAAUGUAGACGCUCAACGUCUGACUUGCAGCGCAUACUGGUUUCCUUGAGUANGCNCANAGNGUUGGCGGAAUUCGUCGUGUAGCGGUGAAAUGCUUAGAUAUGACGAAGAACUCCGAUUGCGAAGGCAGCUGACGGGAGCGCAACUGACGCUGAAGCUCGAAGGUGCGGGUAUCGAACAGGAUUAGAUACCCUGGUAGUCCGCACAGUAAACGAUGGAUGCCCGCUGUUGGUACCUGGUAUCAGCGGCUAAGCGAAAGCAUUAAGCAUCCCACCUGGGGAGUACGCCGGNNCGG
RNAcentral lists this ribosomal RNA (539 nucleotides) under uncultured bacterium. RNAcentral describes it as "bacterial SSU rRNA". It matches the Rfam family "Bacterial small subunit ribosomal RNA", at positions 355 to 894 of the family's 1533-position model. The record is from RNAcentral.